ACGCUCGACACCUACGGAGGCAGCAGUGGGGAAUAUUGCACAAUGGGGGAAACCCUGAUGCAGCGACGCCGCGUGAGCGAAGAAGUAUUUCGGUAUGUAAAGCUCUAUCAGCAGGGAAGAAACUGACGGUACCUGACUAAGAAGCACCGGCUAAAUACGCGCCAGCAGCCGGACGGUAAUCUGAGGCGGGCUGGCAAGGC
RNAcentral lists this ribosomal RNA (200 nucleotides) under uncultured bacterium. Its description in RNAcentral is "partial 16S ribosomal RNA". It matches the Rfam family "Bacterial small subunit ribosomal RNA", at positions 328 to 539 of the family's 1533-position model. The record is from RNAcentral.